GAAAAUUUUAAACAUUCAUGAAACGGUUUGCUGUUAGAGAUUCAUUUUCAUCUUGCAAAAAGACGGCGGAAAAAUGUGUUAUUGGUGCAGCCUCAAACUCAUUAUGGUAAGGUGGAUAUGUGAUCAUGGAAGUGUCUGAGGUGCACUGUCCUUGAGCAUAAAAGAUGUAAACUUUUGUCUGUGCUGUCCUGAAUGUGCUGGUGGAGAUAUAAGGUGAAACUGGUCAAGGCUAGUUGGAAAAGAAUGGAAGUUUCUAACCA
Molecule: unclassified non-coding RNA, 260 nt
Filed under: Hevea brasiliensis (rubber tree)
Lineage: Eukaryota; Viridiplantae; Streptophyta; Magnoliopsida; Malpighiales; Euphorbiaceae
Source: RNAcentral